Molecule: long non-coding RNA, 1265 nt
Filed under: Bos indicus x Bos taurus (hybrid cattle)
Lineage: Eukaryota; Metazoa; Chordata; Mammalia; Artiodactyla; Bovidae
Description: lncRNA (ENSBIXG00005011791.1)
Source: RNAcentral
CAAAAGGAUUUUAGUUUUUCGUUGUUAACUGAGAUUCCAUCCACAGAUGUUCCAUUCACAGUGGAGAGCUCCGUGCACACACCACACACACCACACACACACCACACACACACACACACACACACACCACACACCACACACACAUCACACACACACACACCACACACACCACACACACACCACACACACCACACACACACCACACCACACACACACACCACACACACACCACACCACACACACACACCACACCACACACACACACCACACACACACAACACCACACACACACACCACACACACACCACACACACACACCACACACACACACACACACCACACACCACACACGCACAUACCACACACACACACACACACACCACACACACCACACAUGCACACACCACACACACACACCACACCACACACAUACCACACACACACAGCACACACACACACACACACCACACACGCACACCACACACACCAUACACGCACACCACACACCACACACACACCACACCACACACCACACACACACCACACCACACACACACACACACCACACACACCAUACACACAUCACACACACACCACACACACACACACCACACACACCACACACGCACACAACACACACACACACCACACACACACAACACCACACACACACACCACACACACACCACACACACACACACCACACACCACACAUGCACACACCACACACACACACACACACCACACACACCACACACGCACACACCACACACACACACCACACACACACAACACCACACACACCACACACACACCACACACACACACCACACACACACACCACACACACCACACACGCACACACCACACACACACACCACACACCACACACCACACACACACCACACCACACACACACACACACACCACACACACCACACACACACACACCACACACACACACACCACACACACACCACACCACACACACACACCACACACACACAACACCACACACACACACCACACACACACCACACACACACACACACCACACACCACACACGCACACACCACACACGCACACACACACACCACACACACACACACCACACACACACACCACACACACACCACACACACACACACACCACACACGCACACACACACACACACACACACCACACACACCCCCCACGCCAACCCAGCGGGUCCCCACCUGUGAACAGACGCCGCGCCGGCCCGGCCCCCGGGAGCUUGUGGGG